CUAGAAAGAUUCCGGUUGAUCCUGCCAGAGGCUACUGCUAUCGGGGUCCGACUAAGCCAUGCGAGUUGAGAGGGGUAAGCCCUCGGCAUAUUGCUCAGUAACACGCGGAUAACCUGCCCUUGGGUUUGGGAUAACCCCGGGAAACUGGGACUAAUACCGGAUAGAUCAAAGAAACUGGAAUGUUCUCUGGUUGAAAGCUCCGGCGCCCAAGGAUGGGUCUGCGGCCUAUCAGGUAGUAGUGGGUGUAACAUACCUACUAGCCUACGACGGGUAAGGGUUGUGAGAGCAAGAGCCCUGAGAUGGAUUCUGAGACAUGAAUCCAGGCCCUACGGGGUGCAGCAGGCGCGAAAACUUUACACUGCGGGAAACCGCGAUAAGGGGACCCCGAGUGCCAGCACCUAGUGCUGGCUGUCCAGCUGUUCAAAAAACAGUUGUUAGCAAGGGCCGGGCAAGACCGGUGCCAGCCGCCGCGGUAACACCGGCGGCCCGAGUGGUAGCCGUUAUUAUUGGGUUUAAAGGGUCCGUAGCCGGCCUAUUAAGUCUCUUGGGAAAUCUGGCGACUCAAUCGUCAGGCGUUCAAGAGAUACUGGUAGGCUUGGGACCGGGAGAGGUGGGAGGUACUCCAGGGGUAGGGGUGAAAUCUCGUAAUCCUUGGGGGACCACCGAUGGCGAAGGCAUCCCACCAGAACGGGUCCGACGGUGAGGGACGAAAGCUGGGGGCACGAACCGGAUUAGAUACCCGGGUAGUCCCAGCCGUAAACGAUGCUCGCUAGGUGUCAGGUGCGGUGCGACCGCAUCUGGUGCCGUCGUGAAAACUUGAAGCGAGUCACCUGGGAAGUACGGUCGCAAGGCUGAAACUUAAAGGAAUUGGCGGGGGAGCACUACAACGGGUGGAGCCUGCGGUUCA
RNAcentral lists this ribosomal RNA (907 nucleotides) under uncultured ANME-2 cluster archaeon. Its description in RNAcentral is "bacterial SSU rRNA". It matches the Rfam family "Archaeal small subunit ribosomal RNA", at positions 1 to 904 of the family's 1478-position model. The record is from RNAcentral. Lineage: Archaea; Methanobacteriati; Methanobacteriota; Methanomicrobia; Methanosarcinales.